GAAUAUUGGACAAUGGGCGACAGCCUGAUCCAGCAAUGCCGCGUGAGUGAUGAAGGCCCUCGGGUCGUAAAGCUCUUUUACCAGGGAUGAUAAUGACAGUACCUGGAGAAUAAGCUCCGGCUAACUCCGUGCCAGCAGCCGCGGUAAUACGGAGGGAGCUAGCGUUGUUCGGAAUUACUGGGCGUAAAGCGCGCGUAGGCGGUCUGCCAAGUCAGGGGUGAAAUCCCGGGGCUCAACCCCGGAACUGCCCUUGAAACUAUCAGACUAGAAUUUUGGAGAGGCGAGUGGAAUUCCGAGUGUAGAGGUGAAAUUCGUAGAUAUUCGGAAGAACACCAGUGGCGAAGGCGACUCGCUGGACAAGUAUUGACGCUGAGGUGCGAAAGCGUGGGGAGCAAACAGG
This 400-nucleotide ribosomal RNA is filed under the name uncultured bacterium. Its description in RNAcentral is "bacterial SSU rRNA". It matches the Rfam family "Bacterial small subunit ribosomal RNA", at positions 359 to 776 of the family's 1533-position model. The record is from RNAcentral.